Molecule: ribosomal RNA, 226 nt
Filed under: Mullus barbatus (red mullet)
Lineage: Eukaryota; Metazoa; Chordata; Actinopteri; Syngnathiformes; Mullidae
Description: partial 16S ribosomal RNA
Source: RNAcentral
UGUGGAGCUUUAGACACCAGGGCAGGCUGUGUGAAUAAAACCUGAAUAAGGACCAGAACAAGCAGACGCUGCCCAAAUGUUUUUGGUUGGGGCGACCGUGGGGGAAAAAAUAACCCCCAUGUGGACCGGGAGAACCUCUCCUAGAAGCAAGAACCACAGUUCUAGCUGACAGAACUUCUGACCUACAAGAUCCGGCCAAUGCCGAUUAACGGACAGAGUUACCCCA